RNAcentral lists this ribosomal RNA (320 nucleotides) under uncultured Prevotella sp. Its description in RNAcentral is "bacterial SSU rRNA". It matches the Rfam family "Bacterial small subunit ribosomal RNA", at positions 28 to 339 of the family's 1533-position model. The record is from RNAcentral. Lineage: Bacteria; Pseudomonadati; Bacteroidota; Bacteroidia; Bacteroidales; Prevotellaceae.
GAUGAACGCUAGCUACAGGCUUAACACAUGCAAGUCGAGGGGCAGCAUGGGGUCAGCUUGCUGACUCCGAUGGCGACCGGCGCACGGGUGAGUAACGCGUAUCCAACCUUCCCUAUACUAGGGGAUAGCCCGGCGAAAGUCGGAUUAAUACCCUAUGUUCUUCAUAGAUGGCAUCUGACGUGAAGCAAAGAUUGAUCGGUAUAGGAUGGGGAUGCGUCUGAUUAGGUUGUUGGCGGGGUAACGGCCCACCAAGCCAUCGAUCAGUAGGGGUUCUGAGAGGAAGGUCCCCCACAUUGGUACUGAGACACGGACCAAACUCC